UCCAGCGGUAGUCAGCUGUCCGGCGCUUGUCCAUGCCUGUGACUGUGUUACACUGCUGGCAGAUUAAAGCGCUGCCGCCACGCACUAGACGCCGCUGCUAUCGUUUUGGUGGCACGUGGCGCUGGUGCCAGGUAGUGCCGGACUUCCGCCAAAUCGUGCCAAGCAUUGACUGUUUGACCAGUAGCAGUGGAAGUCUACAAA
Spea bombifrons (plains spadefoot toad) is the source of this 201-nucleotide small nucleolar RNA. RefSeq annotates it as small nucleolar RNA SNORA74. The record is from RefSeq and is a predicted model, not a curated record. NCBI's taxonomy places the organism in Eukaryota, Metazoa, Chordata, Amphibia, Anura, Pelobatidae. The transcript has a single exon.